GUGAACGCUGGCGGUAGGCCUAACACAUGCAAGUCGAACGGCAGCACAGUAAGAGCUUGCUCUUACGGGUGGCGAGUGGCGGACGGGUGAGGAAUACAUCGGAAUCUACUUUUUCGUGGGGGAUAACGUAGGGAAACUUACGCUAAUACCGCAUACGACCUACGGGUGAAAGCAGGGGAUCUUCGGACCUUGCGCGAUUGAAUGAGCCGAUGUCGGAUUAGCUAGUUGGCGGGGUAAAGGCCCACCAAGGCGACGAUCCGUAGCUGGUCUGAGAGGAUGAUCAGCCACACUGGAACUGAGACACGGUCAAGACUCCUACGGGAGGCAGCAGUGGGGAAUAUUGGACAAUGGGCGCAAGCCUGAUCCAGCCAUACCGCGUGGGUGAAGAAGGCCUUCGGGUUGUAAAGCCCUUUUGUUGGGAAAGAAAAGCAGCAGGUUAAUACCCCGCUGUUCUGACGGUACCCAAAGAAUAAGCACCGGCUAACUUCGUG
RNAcentral lists this ribosomal RNA (491 nucleotides) under uncultured bacterium. Its description in RNAcentral is "partial 16S ribosomal RNA". It matches the Rfam family "Bacterial small subunit ribosomal RNA", at positions 29 to 507 of the family's 1533-position model. The record is from RNAcentral.